Molecule: ribosomal RNA, 495 nt
Filed under: uncultured bacterium
Lineage: Bacteria
Description: partial 16S ribosomal RNA
Rfam family: Bacterial small subunit ribosomal RNA
Source: RNAcentral
GAUGAACGCUGGCGGCGUGCCUAAUACAUGCAAGUCGAGCGAACGGACGAGAAGCUUGCUUCUCUGAUGUUAGCGGCGGACGGGUGAGUAACACGUGGAUAACCUACCUAUAAGACUGGGAUAACUUCGGGAAACCGGAGCUAAUACCGGAUGAUAUUUUGAACCGCAUGGUUCAAAAGUGAAAGACGGUCUUGCUGUCACUUAUAGAUGGAUCCGCGCUGCAUUAGCUAGUUGGUAAGGUAACGGCUUACCAAGGCAACGAUGCAUAGCCGACCUGAGAGGGUGAUCGGCCACACUGGAACUGAGACACGGUCCAGACUCCUACGGGAGGCAGCAGUAGGGAAUCUUCCGCAAGGGGCGAAAGCCUGACGGAGCAACGCCGCGUGAGUGAUGAAGGUCUUCGGAUCGUAAAACUCUGUUAUUAGGGAAGAACAUAUGUGUAAGUAACUGUGCACAUCUUGACGGUACCUAAUCAGAAAGCCACGGCUAACUACG